GAUGAACGCUGGCGGCGUGCUUAACACAUGCAAGUCGAACGAGAAGUGAAGACGGAAACCUUCGGGCGGAAGGCUUUAUUUCGAGUGGCGGACGGGUGAGUAACGCGUGGGUAACCUGCCUCAUACAGGGGGAUAACAGUUGGAAACGACUGUUAAUACCGCAUAAGACCACAGCACCGCAUGGUGCGGGGGUAAAAACGCCGGUGGUAUGAGAUGGACCCGCGUUCGAUUAGCCAGUUGGCGGGGUAACGGCCCACCAAAGCGACGAUCGAUAGCCGAUCUGAGAGGAUGACCGGCCACAUUGGGACUGAGACACGGCCCAAACUCCUACGGGAGGCAGCAGUGGGGAAUAGUGCACAAUGGGGGAAACCCUGAUGCAGCGACGCCGCGUGAGUGAAGAAGUAUUUCGGUAUGUAAAGCUCUAUCAGCAGGGAAGAAAAUGACGGUACCUGAGUAAGAAGCCCCGGCUAACUACGUG
This 478-nucleotide ribosomal RNA is filed under the name uncultured bacterium. Its description in RNAcentral is "partial 16S ribosomal RNA". It matches the Rfam family "Bacterial small subunit ribosomal RNA", at positions 28 to 507 of the family's 1533-position model. The record is from RNAcentral.